Molecule: long non-coding RNA, 1593 nt
Organism: Felis catus (domestic cat)
Lineage: Eukaryota; Metazoa; Chordata; Mammalia; Carnivora; Felidae
Exons: 3
Source: RefSeq, a predicted model, not a curated record
GAAGGAGGGAAAGACAGAGUAAUGUCAGCGUAUGUAUCUUCACAGGACAGAGACAGUGGGCAGGGUUUUGAAAGACGAUCAAGAGUUACAACAAAAUGAACAAGCUUCAGAAGGACAUUACAGAUAGAACUGUGUUCAAAGAAAACAGUGGAAUGAAACUGGCAGUGCAUCCAGGGAACAAAGGAGUCUGGUCUUAUUAAAUGCAACAGGGGUACUAAGAGCAACCUAGUGAGAAAGGCAGGCAGUGACCAGAUCAAGGGGUUCUUGGAAGCUCUUCUAAGAGACUUAUACUUUAUAUUUUGCAUAAGGUUUAUGCCUCAAAAUGAUCACCCUGAAAGUGAUUUUGAGGAUAUAUCAGAGAAGUUCUGUUUUAUUUUUCCCUCGCGGCCUGCUGUAACAAAUUAUCACAAACUUGGUGGGUUAAAACAGUGACAUUUAUUCUCUCACAGUUCUGGAAGCCAGAAAUCUGAGCCAGGAGUCUAAAAUCUAGGUGUCAGCAUGGCCAUAUUCCCUCUGGAGCCUCUAGUGGAGAAUCCAUCUUUUUUUCUUCCAGUUACUGGUGGUUGCCAACUUCCUUGGCUAUGGCCACUCUAAUCUCUGCCUUCAUCUUUACAUGACCUUCUCCCCUGUGUGUCUGUGUCUUCUCCUUUUCUGUUUUUCAUAAAGACAGUUGUCACUGGAUUUAGGGCCCACCUGGAUGAUCCAGUAUGAUCUCAUCUCAAGAUCCUUAACCUAAUUACAUCUGCAAAAACUCUUUUUCCAAAUAAGGUCACAUUCAUAGGUUCUAAGGAUGAAGAUGUGAAUAUAUCUGUUGGGGAGCCACCAUGAUCAAUGCUAAAGUCAGGGGACUAUUUAGAAGGUGAUUGCAAUUAACCAGACAACUCAACAAAGACUUCUUUAACUCUUGGAUUUAAUUUCUGCUAUGAGAUUGAAACAUGCACAUUUAUGUACCCCAUCACUGCUGGGUAUAUCAAUACCCUCUUCGUAGCAUCAUUAUUAGCAUGAGCAAAACAAAUUUAAGCUGCAGCACAGAACUUCUGUCCAAUGAUAUCUACGCAAGUGAGCAAAAAAGAGAUACAGUAACCAACAGAAGGAAAAAGAAUGAAACUCGGAUAUAUAUAUUUUUUGUAAGUAAUGAAAGGGGACUCUGGAGUAGAGGGAAGGGUAAUAGUACAGUUUUCUGUCUAACCACAUCCCUCCUACUAGACCCCACGCUAUUCCAGAAGGAGUAUCAGUGAGUGUGCAGAGUCCUGAAAUUUUUCAUUAAUACCCCCAAACCUGAACAGAAACAGACUGAAUGCAUAUCCUCAUCUCUUCUUUUUUAACACAAUGGAAUGGUUCUCGGGUAAGGCAGGUUAAGUGGAGAAAGCAGUCAAUGUAGUAACUCUCUCUGAUGAAAAUCAGGGUUCCAGAGUUACACCUUGCAUUGAAGAACAAGUUGAAGUUCAAGUACACCUCCACCAUGGAAAUGUGAUAUACCUCCUAGCUAGUUGUAUUGCACCUUAUGUUUAAUAAGGUCUUGGAAAUGAGCAGAUCUGAAGUAUCCUAAAAGAGAGCUCCUCAGCGGAUCUCUCCUCUCCUCCUCUCUUUUCU